CACGUAGGGGGCAAGCGUUGUCCGGAUUUAUUGGGCGUAAAGAGCUCGUAGGUGGUUCGAUAAGUCGGGUGUGAAACCUCCAGGCUCAACCUGGAGACGCCACCCGAUACUGUCGUGACUAGAGUCCAGUAGGGGAGCGUGGAAUUCCUGGUGUAGCGGUGAGAUGCGCAGAUAUCAGGAGGAACACCAGCGGCGAAGGCGGCGCUCUGGGCUGGCACUGACACUGAGGAGCGAAAGCGUGGGUAGCAAACAGG
RNAcentral lists this ribosomal RNA (254 nucleotides) under uncultured bacterium. Its description in RNAcentral is "partial 16S ribosomal RNA". It matches the Rfam family "Bacterial small subunit ribosomal RNA", at positions 524 to 776 of the family's 1533-position model. The record is from RNAcentral.